Molecule: ribosomal RNA, 263 nt
Filed under: uncultured Staphylococcus sp.
Lineage: Bacteria; Bacillati; Bacillota; Bacilli; Caryophanales; Staphylococcaceae
Description: partial 16S ribosomal RNA
Rfam family: Bacterial small subunit ribosomal RNA
Source: RNAcentral
CGGACGGGUGAGUAACACGUGGAUAACCUACCUAUAAGACUGGGAUAACUUCGGGAAACCGUAGCUAAUACCGGAUAAUAUAUUGAACCGCAUGGUUCAAUAGUGAAAGACGGUUUUGCUGUCACUUAUAGAUGGAUCCGCGCCGCAUUAGCUAGUUGGUAAGGUAACGGCUUACCAAGGCAACGAUGCGUAGCCGACCUGAGAGGGUGAUCGGCCACACUGGAACUGAGACACGGUCCAGACUCCUACGGGAGGCAGCAGCA